CCUACGGGUGGCAGCAGUGAGGAAUAUUGGUCAAUGGGCUCGAGCCUGAACCAGCCAAGUAGCGUGAAGGAUGACUGCCCUACGUGUUGUAAACUUCUUUUCUAAAGGAAUAAAGUGAGGCACGUGUGCCUUUUUGUAUGUACUUUAUGAAUAAGGAUCGGCUAACUCCGUGCCCGCAGCCGCGGUAAUACGGAGGCACCGAGCGUUCUCCGGAGUUAUUGGGUUUAAAGGGAGCGUAGAUGGGUUGUUAAGUCAGUUGUGAAAGUUUGCGGCUCAACCGUAAAAGUGCAAUUGAUACUGGCAGUCUUGAGUACAGUUGAGGUAGGCGGAAUUCGUGGUGUAGCGGUGAAAUGCUUAGAUAUCACGAAGAACUCCGAUUGCGAAGGCAGCUUACUAAACUGCCACUGACAUUGAUGCUCGAAAGUGUGGGUAUCAAACAGGAUUAGAUACCCUAGUAGUC
Molecule: ribosomal RNA, 460 nt
Filed under: uncultured bacterium
Lineage: Bacteria
Description: partial 16S ribosomal RNA
Rfam family: Bacterial small subunit ribosomal RNA
Source: RNAcentral